CCUACGGGAGGCAGCAGUGAGGAAUAUUGGACAAUGGGCGCAAGCCUGAUCCAGCCAUGCCGCGUGCAGGAAGAAGCAUCUAUGGUGUGUAAACUGCUUUUGUACAGGAAGAAACACUCCCUCGUGAGGGAGCUUGACGGUACUGUAAGAAUAAGGACCGGCUAACUCCGUGCCAGCAGCCGCGGUAAUACGGAGGGUCCGAGCGUUAUCCGGAAUCAUUGGGUUUAAAGGGUCCGUAGGCGGUUUAAUAAGUCAGUGGUGAAAUCUGGUCGCUCAACGAUCAAAUGGCCAUUGAUACUGUUAGACUUGAAUUAUAAGGAAGUAACUAGAAUAUGUAGUGUAGCGGUGAAAUGCUUAGAUAUUACAUGGAAUACCAAUUGCGAAGGCAGGUUACUACUUAUGGAUUGACGCUGAUGGACGAAAGCGUGGGGAGCGAACAGGAUUAGAUACCCUGGUAGUCCACGCCGUAAACGAUGGAUACUAGCUGUUCGGAGCAAUCUGAGUGGCUAAGCGAAAGUGAUAAGUAUCCACCUGGGAGUACGUUCGCAGAAUGAAACUCAAAGGAAUUGACGG
Molecule: ribosomal RNA, 573 nt
Filed under: uncultured bacterium
Lineage: Bacteria
Description: bacterial SSU rRNA
Rfam family: Bacterial small subunit ribosomal RNA
Source: RNAcentral